CCUACGGGGUGCUGCAGUGGGGAAUAUUGGACAAUGGGCGAAAGCCUGAUCCAGCCAUGCCGCGUGUGUGAAGAAGGCCUUCGGGUUGUAAAGCACUUUCAGUGGGGAAGAAAGCCUUGGGGCUAAUACCCUCGAGGAAGGACAUCACCCACAGAAGAAGCACCGGCUAACUCCGUGCCAGCAGCCGCGGUAAUACGGAGGGUGCGAGCGUUAAUCGGAAUUACUGGGCGUAAAGCGCGCGUAGGCGGUCUGAUAAGCCGGUUUGUGAAAGCCCCGGGCUCAACCUGGGAACGGCAUCCGGAACUGUCAGGCUAGAGUGCAGGAGAGGAAGGUAGAAUUCCCGGUGUAGCGGUGAAAUGCGUAGAGAUCGGGAGGAAUACCAGUGGCGAAGGCGGCCUUCUGGACUGACACUGACGCUGAGGUGCGAAAGCGUGGGUAGCAAACAGGAUUAGAUACCCCGGUAGUC
RNAcentral lists this ribosomal RNA (466 nucleotides) under Vreelandella stevensii. RNAcentral describes it as "partial 16S ribosomal RNA". It matches the Rfam family "Bacterial small subunit ribosomal RNA", at positions 338 to 795 of the family's 1533-position model. The record is from RNAcentral. Lineage: Bacteria; Pseudomonadati; Pseudomonadota; Gammaproteobacteria; Oceanospirillales; Halomonadaceae.